RNAcentral lists this ribosomal RNA (449 nucleotides) under uncultured bacterium. RNAcentral describes it as "partial 16S ribosomal RNA". It matches the Rfam family "Bacterial small subunit ribosomal RNA", at positions 29 to 523 of the family's 1533-position model. The record is from RNAcentral.
AACGAACGCUGGCGGCAUGCCUAACACAUGCAAGUCGAACGAGACCUUCGGGUCUAGUGGCGCACGGGUGCGUAACGCGUGGGAAUCUACCCUUGGGUUCGGAAUAACAGUUAGAAAUGACUGCUAAUACCGGAUGAUGACGUAAGUCCAAAAAUUUAUCGCCCAAGGAUGAGCCCGCGUAAGAUUAGCUUGUUGGUGGGGUAACGGCCUACCAAGGCGACGAUCUUUAGCUGGUCUGAGAGGAUGAUCAGCCACACUGGGACUGAGACACGGCCCAGACUCCUACGGGAGGCAGCAGUGGGGAAUAUUGGACAAUGGGCGAAAGCCUGAUCCAGCAAUGCCGCGUGAGUGAUGAUGGCCUUAGGGUUGUAAAGCUCUUUUACCAGGGAUGAUAAUGACAGUACCUGGAGAAUAAGCUCCGGCUAACUCCGUGCCAGCCGCCGCGGUAA